GACGAACGCUGGCGGCGUGCUUAACACAUGCAAGUCGAACGGAAAGGCCCUGCUUUUGUGGGGUGCUCGAGUGGCGAACGGGUGGGUAACACGUGAGUAACCUGCCCUUGACUUUGGGAUAACUUCAGGAAACUGGGGCUAAUACCGGAUAGGAGCUCCUGCUGCAUGGUGGGGGUUGGAAAGUUUCGGCGGUUGGGGAUGGACUCGCGGCUUAUCAGCUUGUUGGUGGGGUAGUGGCUUACCAAGGCUUUGACGGGUAGCCGGCCUGAGAGGGUGACCGGCCACAUUGGGACUGAGAUACGGCCCAGACUCCUACGGGAGGCAGCAGUGGGGAAUAUUGCACAAUGGGCGGAAGCCUGAUGCAGCAACGCCGCGUACGGGAUGACGGCCUUCGGGUUGUAAACCGCUUUCGCCUGUGACGAAGCGUGAGUGACGGUAAUGGGUAAAGAAGCACCGGCUAACUACGUG
Molecule: ribosomal RNA, 468 nt
Filed under: uncultured bacterium
Lineage: Bacteria
Description: partial 16S ribosomal RNA
Rfam family: Bacterial small subunit ribosomal RNA
Source: RNAcentral